AUGCGGAGGAUCCGAGCGUUAUCCGGAUUUAUUGGGUUUAAAGGGUGCGCAGGCGGCCAUUUAAGUCAGCGGUUAAAUCGUGGGGCUCAACCCCAUUCUGCCGUUGAUACUGGGUGGCUUGAUUGCGGUCGAGGUUGGCGGAAUUCGUUGUGUAGCGGUGAAAUGCAUAGAUAUGACGAAGAACACCGAUUGCGUAGGCAGCUGACCAGACCGCAAAUGACGCUCAUGCACGAAAGUGCGGGGAUCGAACAGGAUUAGAUACCCUGGUAGUCCGCACAGUAAACGAUGAAUACUUGUUUUCGGCGAUAUAAUGUCGGAGGCAAAGCGAAAGCGAUAAGUAUUCCACCUGGGGAGUACGCCGGCAACGGUGAAACUCAAAGGAAUUGGCGGGG
RNAcentral lists this ribosomal RNA (392 nucleotides) under uncultured bacterium. RNAcentral's name for it is "partial 16S ribosomal RNA". It matches the Rfam family "Bacterial small subunit ribosomal RNA", at positions 523 to 918 of the family's 1533-position model. The record is from RNAcentral.